GUGCUCACUUCGGCAGCACAUAUACUAAAAUUGGAACGAUACAGAGAAGAUUAGCAUGGCCCCUGCACAAGGAUGACACACAAAUUCGUGAAGCGUUCCAUACCAUAUUUUU
This is a small nuclear RNA of Hypanus sabinus (Atlantic stingray), 112 nucleotides long. NCBI's taxonomy places the organism in Eukaryota, Metazoa, Chordata, Chondrichthyes, Myliobatiformes, Dasyatidae. The record is from RefSeq and is a predicted model, not a curated record.